CUCUCAUCGCCGUCCCCAUCUUUGUUCUUUCUCGUAUCCAAGUCUCCAUUUUCCUCCACAUGUAUUCCCUCUCUGUCUUCUUUCUCUCUCACCAACUCCAUGACAUCUGUUGUAAUUUUCAUCAUGUUUGAAAAGGGUUUGCUCACCAACUCCAUGAACUCCCAGAUCUUGCUCCACCAACAGAAAAAUCAGUCUUCUUCUUUGUCUCUCUCGCCAUCCCCAUCAACCGACGACGAGGGUUUGGAGUUCGACAACAUUUGGUCGGAACAACUCAGAUCUGACGUGUUGUUGAUGGUAGAGAGAUAAUGGUUCAAUUCGCUAAGUAUGGACCAAAUGAUGAACGAAUGUAACAAGCAAGAAGUCGGCUACACCGAGAUGUGUGUUUUG
Camellia sinensis is the source of this 387-nucleotide non-coding RNA. The record is from RefSeq and is a predicted model, not a curated record. Lineage: Eukaryota; Viridiplantae; Streptophyta; Magnoliopsida; Ericales; Theaceae.